Molecule: long non-coding RNA, 2202 nt
Organism: Felis catus (domestic cat)
Lineage: Eukaryota; Metazoa; Chordata; Mammalia; Carnivora; Felidae
Exons: 10
Source: RefSeq, a predicted model, not a curated record
UCUCCUCCUUCUGUCGCUGCAGCGUCAGCGUCAGCGUCAGCGUUAGCGUCAUAACGUCAAAACGCCAUAACGCCAUAACGCCGUAGCGCCAUAACGUCAUAACGUCGGGAGCCGCCCACCUAGUGUUACGACGCCGAAGUCGUUCUCCUUGCUUCUUCUCUUCACGUGGGCGUGUUAUCCUCGGGAGGCCUCGCAAGAAGGAGGGUCCCUCUGUGGGAGCGAAUAGCAAGGGGACCGGACCUGGUGCAGAGUGUGAGAGAGGGAUUCCUGGUGAAAGGGACAAUGACACGAAGGCUGAAGGCAAGACCUUGCAGGUUAGAAGCUUCCAUCCUGAGGUGCGACUGGAGGCAAGCAACCAGAAGCUCUCAGAAGCUAGAUACACCAGAAAUAUGCCCAGGAAAAGGGAGACAAGAAAUCCAGGAAAUAGAUGCACCAAUGGAAGAAAAAAGCAAUGACACACAGGGAGAAAGCCACGUGAUGAUGGACGUAGAGACUGGAGUCAUGCUGUCAGAAGCCGAGGAACACCUGGGGCCACCAGAAGCUGGAAGAUGCAAGGAAGGAUCCUUCCCUCUGCUUCAGAGAAGGCACAGCCCUGCCAACACAUUGACUGCAGACUUCUGGCCUCCAGAACUGUGGGUGAUGGGUGACAGUGGCAGAACAGGUUCUACAGAAAUGUCUGGCAUCCCUUGUUCCCAAGCUUUGAAGCCUCUGCCAAAUACAUAGAGACGUCACAUUUAACAUCCUGUUACAAAGGCGUAGAAUGAGUGGGUGUGAGCUAAGGAUUUUGCGCUGGACUGGCACACGGGGAUCAACGAAUGGGGAUGAAAAUGCUAUCAAUCUGAGCUCCCAAUGCUUCAAGGAGACACCUAAAGAAGAGGAGAGUUAAGUUUUUCUGUCCCACUGCCUCCCAGAGGUGGUAGUUGACCAACCCUGCAGAACACAGAUGGGAAAGACGUCCCAUACUCUUACCCUCUAAGUGGAAGAUUGCAAAAGAAUAUCGAGAGAGGGAAAAGAAGUGGAUACAUACGAGCUAUGGGUGUAAAGGCCCUGGCUGGAACUUUUUGCCAAAGGGAUGGUGAAGAGGUAGCUGCAAGUAGGAUUCUUUGGGGGAAGACAAUCCAAAGUGGGUUGGAAGAACGAGGCCCGCAACAAGCAGGUCUGAAAGUCGCUUCUCCUCUCCACACCUCUGAAUCCACAUCAGGAAAAUAAGAAGAUUGGAGCCCACCUUCUCAUGGCCCUUCCAGCCCCAACAAGUGUUUCUUUGGACACACCAUGGUGAACUGAAAAGCUGAUAAAAUGCCUGACCGAUGGCAUCCAACUUCACAGACAACUGACAAGUUUUACAAGUUUAACAGGUUCUGUUUUGAAUGGCUUCUACCAAAUGGAGGUGGAGGAGAAUGUUGGCCUGAUGGGAAAAUGAACUUUUUCUCAAAAGCUCAUGCUCAGAAAUUGUUCUGUGUUAUGGCAUUCUUUUUCUAGCUCCUGGGCUAACCAAAUCCCAUGCAAACCAGAGAGAAAGACAGAAAGUGUGAAUGGGGGAGAGGGGCAGAGAGAGAGUAUCCUGAGCACUCCACACUCAGCGCAGAGACCGAUGCCACAACCGUGAGAUCAUGACCUGGAGUCGAAAUCAAGAGUCAGACGCCCAAACGACUGAGCCAUUCAGGUGCCCCUAACUGAACACUUUUGACUAUACUUAUAGGUGUUUAUUUACUUCUAUGACUGUGCAUUUUCUUUGCCCAGUUUUCACAGGGGUAUUAAGUGUUCCUAUUGACUUGCCAUAUAGACGUAAAAUAUUGACUACUCUUCUGCUACAAAAACUGAAAAAAAAUGUGUCCAAAUUUUGAGGCAUUACUAAAGUUAAAAUGUUAAGCUUCCAUACAGUUAAGUCUGCCAAGCCUUUUCUCUAUAAUUGCCACCUUUGGUGUUUUGCUUAGAAAGGCUUUGCACAGCGUAUACAUUUAACCCCCUCUCUACUUCCUUCCACUUCUUUCAGAAUUCCUUUUUGUAUGUAACAAUAUGGUCCACCUAAACCUGUUUUCCUUCGUUCUCUAUGUAUUUUGUGAUGCAGACAUAUGUUUUUUUUCUUCUCCCAAAACUCAGGGGUUGCCACAACACAAUUGAAUUUUCAUGCCUUUCUCUAUCAGUUGAAAUUCCACCUUAUCAAAUUAUAAGUUUAUAUAUAAGUAGGAUCUGUGUUUUUUA